RNAcentral lists this ribosomal RNA (429 nucleotides) under Acidobacteriota bacterium. Its description in RNAcentral is "Acidobacteria bacterium partial 16S ribosomal RNA". It matches the Rfam family "Bacterial small subunit ribosomal RNA", at positions 355 to 776 of the family's 1533-position model. Lineage: Bacteria; Pseudomonadati; Acidobacteriota. The record is from RNAcentral.
UGGGGAAUUUUGGACAAUGGGGGAAACCCUGAUCCAGCCAUCCCGCGUGUGCGAUGAAGGCCUUCGGGUUGUAAAGCACUUUUGGCAGGAAAGAAACGUCAUGGGUUAAUACCCCGUGAAACUGACGGUACCUGCAGAAUAAGCACCGGCUAACUACGUGCCAGCAGCCGCGGUAAUACGUAGGGUGCAAGCGUUAAUCGGAAUUACUGGGCGUAAAGCGUGCGCAGGCGGUUCGGAAAGAAAGAUGUGAAAUCCCAGAGCUCAACUUUGGAACUGCAUUUUUAACUACCGGGCUAGGGUGUGUCAGAGGGAGGUGGAAUUCCGCGUGUAGCAGUGAAAUGCGUGGAUAUGCGGAGGAACACCGAUGGCGAAGGCAGCCUCCUGGGAUAACACUAACGCUCAUGCACGAAAGCGUGGGGAGCAAACAGG